This 473-nucleotide ribosomal RNA is filed under the name Bacillus thuringiensis. RNAcentral describes it as "bacterial SSU rRNA". It matches the Rfam family "Bacterial small subunit ribosomal RNA", at positions 72 to 528 of the family's 1533-position model. Lineage: Bacteria; Bacillati; Bacillota; Bacilli; Caryophanales; Bacillaceae. The record is from RNAcentral.
GAUAGAGCUUGCUCUUAUGAGUUAGCGGCGGACGGGUGAGUAACACGUGGGUAACCUGCCCAUAAGACUGGGAUAACUCCGGGAAACCGGGGCUAAUACCGGAUAACAUUUUGAACCGCAUGGUUCGAAAUUGAAAGGCGGCUUCGGCUGUCACUUAUGGAUGGACCCGCGUCGCAUUAGCUAGUUGGUGAGGUAACGGCUCACCAAGGCAACGAUGCGUAGCCGACCUGAGAGGGUGAUCGGCCACACUGGGACUGAGACACGGCCCAGACUCCUACGGGAGGCAGCAGUAGGGAAUCUUCCGCAAUGGACGAAAGUCUGACGGAGCAACGCCGCGUGAGUGAUGAAGGCUUUCGGGUCGUAAAACUCUGUUGUUAGGGAAGAACAAGUGCUAGUUGAAUAAGCUGGCACCUUGACGGUACCUAACCAGAAAGCCACGGCUAACUACGUGCCAGCAGCCGGCCGGUAAUUGA